Molecule: ribosomal RNA, 246 nt
Filed under: uncultured bacterium
Lineage: Bacteria
Description: partial 16S ribosomal RNA
Rfam family: Bacterial small subunit ribosomal RNA
Source: RNAcentral
AUACGUAGGGGGCUAGCGUUAUCCGGAUUUACUGGGCGUAAAGGGUGCGUAGGUGGUUUCUUAAGUCAGGAGUGAAAGGCUACGGCUUAACCGUAGUAAGCUCUUGAAACUGGGAAACUUGAGUGCAGGAGAGGAAAGUGGAAUUCCUAGUGUAGCGGUGAAAUGCGUAGAUAUAUGGAGGAACACCAGUGGCGAAGGCGGUUGCCUGGCCUGUAACUGACGCUGAAGCACGAAAGCGUGGGGAGC